UCCGUAGGUGAACCUGCGGAAGGAUCAUUACCGUAGGGGCUCUCAGAGUCCCUAUUCAAGAACACCCUUUGUUUAUGAGAACCGUUCGUCUCCUGGGCGGGCUCGCCUGUCUCCAGGGACCUACAAAAACCUUUACAGUACCCCCGGGUACAAAACAUAUUAAAACUUUCAACAACGGAUCUCUUGGUUCUGGCAUCGAUGAAGAACGCAGCGAAAUGCGAUAAGUAGUGUGAAUUGCAGAAUUCAGUGAAUCAUCGAAUCUUUGAACGCACAUUGCGCCCUUCGGUAUUCCGUUGGGCAUGCCUGUUCGAGCGUCAUUUACAAACUCAAGCUCUGCUUGGCGUUGGGCGUCUGUCCCGCCUCUGUGCGGGACUCGCCUCAAAUCUAUUGGCAGCCGGUCAGUUGGCUUCCGCCGCAGCACAUUGCGUCGCGACUCCAGCCUGUCCGCCUCCCCAUCAAGUCCUCUAAAGAUUGACCUCGGAUCAGGUAGGGAUACCCGCUGAACUUAAGCAUAUCAAUAAGCGGAGGA
RNAcentral lists this ribosomal RNA (529 nucleotides) under uncultured Trichocladium. RNAcentral describes it as "eukaryotic LSU rRNA". The stretch from base 164 to 317 matches the Rfam family "5.8S ribosomal RNA". The record is from RNAcentral. Lineage: Eukaryota; Fungi; Ascomycota.